This 422-nucleotide ribosomal RNA is filed under the name Enterococcus sp. oral taxon A43. RNAcentral's name for it is "bacterial SSU rRNA". It matches the Rfam family "Bacterial small subunit ribosomal RNA", at positions 38 to 441 of the family's 1533-position model. The record is from RNAcentral. Lineage: Bacteria; Bacillati; Bacillota; Bacilli; Lactobacillales; Enterococcaceae.
GGCGGCGUGCCUAAUACAUGCAAGUCGAACGCUUCUUUUUCACCGAACUUCGGUUCAUCGAAAAAGAGGAGUGGCGAACGGGUGAGUAACACGUGGGUAACCUGCCCAUCAGAAGGGGAUAACACUUGGAAACAGGUGCUAAUACCGUAUAAUGCUUUUUCUCGCAUGAGAGCAAGCUGAAAGGCGCUUUCGCGUCACUGAUGGAUGGACCCGCGGUGCAUUAGCUAGUUGGUGAGGUAACGGCUCACCAAGGCCACGAUGCAUAGCCGACCUGAGAGGGUGAUCGGCCACACUGGGACUGAGACACGGCCCAGACUCCUACGGGAGGCAGCAGUAGGGAAUCUUCGGCAAUGGACGAAAGUCUGACCGAGCAACGCCGCGUGAGUGAAGAAGGUUUUCGGAUCGUAAAAACUCUGUUGUUA